GAUGAUCCUUGGCGGCGUGCCCAAUAUACGCAACUCGAGCGAACGGACGAGAAGCUUGCUUCUCUGAUGUUAGCGGCGGACGGGUGAGUAACACGUGGAUAACCUACCUAUAAGACUGGGAUAACUUCGGGAAACCGGAGCUAAUACCGGAUAAUAUUUUGAACCGCAUGGUUCAAAAGUGAAAGACGGUCUUGCUGUCACUUAUAGAUGGAUCCGCGCUGCAUUAGCUAGUUGGUAAGGUAACGGCUUACCAAGGCAACGAUGCAUAGCCGACCUGAGAGGUUGAUCAGCCACACUGGAACUGAGACACGGUCCAGACUCCUACGGGAGGCAGCAGUAGGGAAUCUUCCGCAAUGGGCGAAAGCCUGACGGAGCAACGCCGCGUGAGUGAUGAAGGUCUUCGGAUCGUAAAACUCUGUUAUUAGGGAAGAACAUAUGUGUAAGUAACUGUGCACAUCUUGACGGUACCUAAUCAGAAAGCCACGGCUAACUACGUG
RNAcentral lists this ribosomal RNA (497 nucleotides) under uncultured bacterium. RNAcentral describes it as "partial 16S ribosomal RNA". It matches the Rfam family "Bacterial small subunit ribosomal RNA", at positions 28 to 507 of the family's 1533-position model. The record is from RNAcentral.